RNAcentral lists this non-coding RNA (218 nucleotides) under Deltaproteobacteria bacterium. Lineage: Bacteria; Pseudomonadati; Myxococcota; Myxococcia. The record is from RNAcentral.
AAAUUGAAUCCGUGUUCAGGUGGCCUUGGGCUGAAAAGGGAACUCCGUGUGAAUCGGGGACGGCCACGCCGCUGUGAUCGGGGACGAAACUUGCCAGAGCGACUGUCCUGAGGGUUGAGCCUUCGACGUGACGUUUGUCGAAGGGUUAUGAGGAUGGGAAGGGGCAAGGAGUAGAAUGAUCCGUAAGCCAGAAUACCUGCCUGAAUGCGCUUCACGUU